RNAcentral lists this ribosomal RNA (472 nucleotides) under uncultured organism. Its description in RNAcentral is "partial 16S ribosomal RNA". It matches the Rfam family "Bacterial small subunit ribosomal RNA", at positions 334 to 797 of the family's 1533-position model. The record is from RNAcentral.
CACUCCUACGGGAGGCAGCAGUGGGGAAUUUUGGACAAUGGGCGAAAGCCUGAUCCAGCAAUGCCGCGUGUGUGAAGAAGGCCUUCGGGUUGUAAAGCACUUUUGUCCGGAAAGAAAUCCUUGGCUCUAAUACAGUCGGGGGAUGACGGUACCGGAAGAAUAAGCACCGGCUCACUACGUGCCAGCAGCCGCGGUAAUACGUAGGGUGCGAGCGAUAAUCGGAAUUACUUGGCGUAAAGCGUGCGCAGGCGGUUUGCUAAGACCGAUGUGAAAUCCCCGGGCUCAACCUGGGAACUGCAUUGGUAACUGGCAGGCUAGAGUAUGGCAGAGGGGGGUAGAAUUCCACGUGUAGCGGUGAAAUGCGUAGAGAUGUGGAGGAAUACCGAUGGCGAAGGCAGCCCCCUGGGCCAAGACUGACGCUCAUGCACGAAAGCGUGGGGAGCAAACAGGAUUAGAAACCCCUGUAGUCCCA